This 196-nucleotide ribosomal RNA is filed under the name uncultured Lactococcus sp. Its description in RNAcentral is "partial 16S rRNA". It matches the Rfam family "Bacterial small subunit ribosomal RNA", at positions 338 to 525 of the family's 1533-position model. Lineage: Bacteria; Bacillati; Bacillota; Bacilli; Lactobacillales; Streptococcaceae. The record is from RNAcentral.
CCUACGGGAGGCAGCAGUAGGGAAUCUUCGGCAAUGGACGAAAGUCUGACCGAGCAACGCCGCGUGAGUGAAGAAGGUUUUCGGAUCGUAAAGCUCUGUUGUUGUUAAAGAACGUUGAUGAGAGUGGAAAGUUCAUCAAGUGACGGUAAACAACCAGAAAGGGACGGCUAACUACGUGCCAGCAGCCGCGGUAAUA